Gallus gallus (chicken) is the source of this 2643-nucleotide long non-coding RNA. The record is from Ensembl. NCBI's taxonomy places the organism in Eukaryota, Metazoa, Chordata, Aves, Galliformes, Phasianidae.
GUGUGUAUGUGGUUUUAUUUUUCCUCUAACUGAUCCUUUUCAGGCUACUAGGGUACUUUACUGGGAAAAGAGUGGGAGGUCAGAUGUGAAAGGGUGGGUAUACAGGCGGGUUUGUAUGUAGAUGUAAAAUGUUCUAUCUCAUUGGAGAGUGUUCAAGUGCAGAAGUGAUUCUCUUUCAGAGCUCCACAGAAGCAAGAUAGCAGCACUCAAAGUUUACAAAUAUCCCAGAAUACCUGGCAGUCCCCCUGGGCUUUCAAGGUCAAGUCUUCAGUGAGCACCUGCGAAAGAGAUAAACUUUCCCAACAAAGCUCUCCGAGAGCAGAGAGAGAUUCAUUCUAAAAGCUAAAAAGCAGAUUUUGCCCACAUUCUCCACCAAGAAAUGUUGACGGUUUACGGGCUGGUAUGGCCCAGUUCUGUGACUGGCCGGGCAGAGGGAUCUGCAGAUCCACACUUCUGGAAAGGGGAAACAGGGAACCCCAAAAUAAUUAAAAACAGUGGCAACAAUCUGAGGAGAAACAAACUCAUUUACUAAAUAUGGUAUUGGAAUGCAACACACUAUAAUACAAUAUACUUAGAACUGAAGCUAAUAAAUCAAAUGUAAUGAGAGAAAGAGUGUCUGAGAACUGAAGGCCUCUCCAUACGCUGAGGUGAGAUGUGCAGUCAGGCGAGCAGCAUGGAGGAGAGCUUAAGGAAAAAGGGGACAUCAGGUGACUUUGCCAGAGGUUAUAUCUCCUCUCUGACUGCAAAGCUCCCUGGAGAAUGUAGUUCUUGUCUUCCAGACAGGUGCCUGGAACUGGAGCGUUAACACAAUAACUUCCAGUGCACUACAUGAUGUUAUGAUGUGGAAUACCAGUAACAAUCACAAAAAAUCAUAAAACCAUGACAAUAUUUCAUUAAGAUCUUUAGAGAAACAGAAUCAAAUAAUAGCUAUAUAUCAGCAGAAGUUUACCUUUAGAGUCUUAUGUUAUGAGCGUAUAUAUGGACAGUGUAAUAUAUACAUAGUGAUUUAGAGGAAUUUCAGAACAGCUCUGUACUGUAGGUUGAAGUCUAAAUUGACUUAAUUUCCACAUUUCUAGAAUAACAAGUGUUCUUAUUUGCAAAGGUUUAAAAUAGAGAGGCUCCUUACAGUGUUAAAAAAGAUGUGAAGGACCUUUAGUGUGAUUAAAAUCGGUAUCAAUAUGUACUCUAAUGUGAGACUAGCUUGUUAUAUUCCACAGCAUCAUAUAUUUUGAUGCUAAGAAUGCAUUGAAAGGAGGGCAACAAAUACAGUAAAAAGUUUAGAGGCUAUAACUUAUGAGGAAUGCUUGAAGAUAUUUGGUUAGUUCACCUUACAGAAGAAGAGACCAAGGGAAGACAUCAUGGUCUACAACUUCUUCCUUGUGGGGGGUGGAGAGGGAGGCACUGAUCUCUCUGGUGAAAGCAAUAGGACUAGAGGGAGUAACUUAGGGUGUACUGAGGAAAUUCACACUGAGUGUUAGGAAGCUUCUUCACUAGAAGGGUGGUCAAGUGCUGGAACAGGCUUUCCAGAGAAGUGAUCGCAGCACCAGCAAUGUCAGUGUUCAAGAACAAUCUGGACAAUGCUUUGAGAUCACAGAAUGGCAGGGUUUGGAAGGGACCUGUUGUGAUCACCUAGUUGAUCCCCUGCUAAAGCAACUUCCUUAGAGAGGGCUGCACAGGAAAGUGUCCAGGAAGGUCAUGAAUAUCUCCAGAAAAGGAGACUUCGCUACUUCUAUGGACAACCUGUUCCAGUGCUCUGUUACCCCCAAAGCAAAGGAGUUCUUCCUCAUGUUUAGAUGUGUUCCAGUUUGUGCCCUUUUCCCUUUGUCCUAUUCCUUGGCACCAGUGAAAAGAGCCUGGCUCCAUCCUUUUCACACUUGCCCAUAUUUAUUGGUGUAGAUACCCUCUCAGUUUUCUCUUUUCCAGGCUCAACAGUCCCAGAUCUUUCAGCCUUUCCUCAUAAGGGAGGUGCUUAAUCAUCUUUGUUGCCCUCUGCUGGACUCUUUCUUGUAGUCCUGUCUUUCUUGAAUUGAUGAGCCGGGAACUGGACACAGAACCCCAGAUUUGGCCUCAGCAGGGCAAUGUGGAGGGGGAAGAGAACCUCCUAUGUUAAAUGGUUUAACUGUUAGGUUGCCCUGUGUAGAGUCAGAAGUUGUACUCAGUGAUGCUAAUGGAUCCCUUCCAUCUCAGUAUAUUCAAUGGUUCUCUAAUUCCUGUUACGAGUUUACUAAUUUUCUUCCAAACACAAAUUUUUUCUAUAUUAAUAACAAUGCAUUGUAAUGCAAAGUUAGAGUGAACAAUUUAUGUUUAACAAGCUCCUUCUUCUCAAUUUUGAACAAACUAUGAUUUUUUAAAGCAUUAUUUUGUAUAUAUAUUUUUUCAGACUAUUACAAGUAGUGGUGUUAGCACAUGCUAACCUGUUUCUCAGGUCUUUUCAUUCCCUUUGUCUACCCUUUUUUCUUCCUCUCAACUUUUUUUGUUGUUGUUUUUAAAAAGAAAAUACACAGAAAUUCCCAAGGAAAGACAAUUGCUGUAGUGGCAGAUAGAAUAUGCAUUAAGCUAUAAACCUAUUAAACAGAAUAGUGAAUAAAAUGUUUUUUGAAGUAUCUUGUGAUACGUUAUUGGUUUCUCUUUAUCCUCUCUUAU